Molecule: ribosomal RNA, 253 nt
Filed under: uncultured bacterium
Lineage: Bacteria
Description: partial 16S ribosomal RNA
Rfam family: Bacterial small subunit ribosomal RNA
Source: RNAcentral
UACGUAGGGUGCAAGCGUUGUCCGGAUUUAUUGGGCGUAAAGAGCUCGUAGGCGGUUUGUCGCGUCUGCCGUGAAAGUCCGGGGCUUAACUCCGGAUCUGCGGUGGGUACGGGCAGACUAGAGUGCAGUAGGGGAGACUGGAAUUCCUGGUGUAGCGGUGAAAUGCGCAGAUAUCAGGAGGAACACCGAUGGCGAAGGCAGGUCUCUGGGCAUUAACUGACGCUGAGGAGCGAAAGCAUGGGGAGCGAACAGG